CGCGUAGGCGGCUUGAUAAGUCGGGGGUGAAAGCCUGUGGCUCAACCACAGAAUUGCCUUCGAUACUGUCGAGCUUGAGACCGGAAGAGGUAAGUGGAACUGCGAGUGUAGAGGUGAAAUUCGUAGAUAUUCGCAAGAACACCAGUGGCGAAGGCGGCUUACUGGUCCGGUUCUGACGCUGAGGCGCGAAAGCGUGGGAGCAAACA
Molecule: ribosomal RNA, 206 nt
Filed under: uncultured bacterium
Lineage: Bacteria
Description: partial 16S ribosomal RNA
Rfam family: Bacterial small subunit ribosomal RNA
Source: RNAcentral